This 465-nucleotide ribosomal RNA is filed under the name Vreelandella stevensii. RNAcentral describes it as "partial 16S ribosomal RNA". It matches the Rfam family "Bacterial small subunit ribosomal RNA", at positions 338 to 795 of the family's 1533-position model. Lineage: Bacteria; Pseudomonadati; Pseudomonadota; Gammaproteobacteria; Oceanospirillales; Halomonadaceae. The record is from RNAcentral.
CCUACGGGCGGCAGCAGUGGGGAAUAUUGGACAAUGGGGGCAACCCUGAUCCAGCCAUGCCGCGUGUGUGAAGAAGGCCCUCGGGUUGUAAAGCACUUUCAGUGAGGAAGAACGCCUGGUGGUUAAUACCCAUCAGGAAAGACAUCACUCACAGAAGAAGCACCGGCUAACUCCGUGCCAGCAGCCGCGGUAAUACGGAGGGUGCGAGCGUUAAUCGGAAUUACUGGGCGUAAAGCGCGCGUAGGUGGCUUGAUAAGCCGGUUGUGAAAGCCCCGGGCUCAACCUAGGAACGGCAUCCGGAACUGUCAAGCUAGAGUGCAGGAGAGGAAGGUAGAAUUCCCGGUGUAGCGGUGAAAUGCGUAGAGAUCGGGAGGAAUACCAGUGGCGAAGGCGGCCUUCUGGACUGACACUGACACUGAGGUGCGAAAGCGUGGGUAGCAAACAGGAUUAGAUACCCUAGUAGUC